This 4428-nucleotide ribosomal RNA is filed under the name Physcomitrium patens. RNAcentral describes it as "Physcomitrella patens Eukaryotic small subunit ribosomal RNA". It matches the Rfam family "Eukaryotic small subunit ribosomal RNA". The record is from Rfam by way of RNAcentral. Lineage: Eukaryota; Viridiplantae; Streptophyta; Bryopsida; Funariales; Funariaceae.
UACAUGGUUGAUCUUGCCAGUAGUCAUAUACUCGUCUCAUAGAUUAAGCCAUGAAUGUAUUUGUAUAAACUUUUUUGUACUGUAAAAUUGGGAAUGGCUCAUUAAAUCAGUUAUAGUUUCUUUGAUGGUACCUUGCUAUUCGGAUAAUCAUAGUAACUCUAGAGCUAAUAUAUGCACAAACUCCCAACUUUCGGGAAGGGAUGUAUUUAUUAGAUAAAAAACCAAUGCGGUGUCAUAUUACAUGUUGUUAUGCUCAAGAAUGCACCGGGCAUCUAACUGUGGAAGAUGAGAUUGUGUUUCACAAGCAACCAAGAAAUCCUAAUAGAUUUCAUCCAUACGAGAAGAAUAUAAUCUGAAAUUCAAUUCAAAAGUGCUAAAAACACUCUUCUUAGAAGUCUUAACUAUACAUAAAUCCCAAUUACCUUGUUACUUUUAUAUUUAAGUAAUUUAGAUUUUUCUUGUAAGCCCCAGUCCUAAUUAGUUAGCUUUAAUAAGCUGUAACAUCCAAUCUGACCAUCUACUUAAUAUAGAGUUUUGCAUGCAAUUGUCAAUGUAAGUCUUCUAUAUGCUUAAGAAUUUUUAGCCCAAUCCAACUUACAAAUUGUGAGAAAACCUCCAAAAAUUGCACUAAUGUUACUUUGUCGCUAACUUGAAAAGUAAAGCAAAAAUCCUAGCAGAGAUUUCUCCCUUUUCAAUAGUUAAAUUUGUCUCAAAAUUAUUUUUUAGCUUGAUCUUUAAAUCUUUUAACACCAUGCCAAUUUUCAACUUAAUCUGACUAAUAGAUCUUGAGAUAUCAUAGAAAUCCUAUCCAACUUCAAAUUGCUAGCUUUCAAAAUCCUCUUGUGCUAAAAACUAGAUAUCUCUAAACCACGCCAUUAGAUUAUCAUAAAAUUUUCUAUACACUUAGCACAUCCAAUAAUCCAAACAAUAUCAAACUUUCAAUUAUAGAUAUUAUACCAAUUGCAUGAACUAGUUAAAAUUGCUAGCCCUAAUUAUAUUAUAUAAAAUCCAAAUUAUUGAUACAAACCCUAACUUCAAAUAACAAUUAUUAAGUCUUCAAAAACCUUCCAAAAAAAAUUCUUAUGCCAUUGAAAAGAACUUCAAGCUAGCUCUCAAAUCCUAUCCUUUGAUCUUCAAAUGAAUCCCUAACUUGCCCUGAGCGGUCAUUUUAGUGACCAGAGGUCUGAUUUUGACCCUGUCUCACAAAUGGUUGACCCUGGGGUAUCAAUCUAACUUAUCCUAAGUAUUUUUUAGCCCAAUUCUAUCCUUAACUUGAUCCUAGUAUCAACCAUAUCAACCAUUUACUUCUUCUACUCUGAUUUUAUUAAUUUAUGGUCUUUCUAAGGUAAUAGAAGAGUCUCUAUAACCUAGAAGGUAAAAUUACUAAUUAACCUUCAACCUACUAACUAUUAAGAUAAAAAAAUAACAUAAGAGGCUUUCAUAAAAGCCAUGUUUAGAUACCUCAAAUUAUAAUUGAACUAAAAUAAUUAGAUAUUAAUUAGAAAUUUAAUUUUGAUUAUAAUUUCACUAUAUAGUCAUAUUACAUCACAACAGCAAGUUUACUUGGUGUUGCAAUGAAUCAUAAUAACUUUGUUGAAUUGCACGGCCUUGGCACUAGCAAUGUUUCAUUCAAAUUUCUAUCCUAUCAACUUUCAAUGGUUAGAUAGAUGCCUACCAUGGUUGUAAUGGAUGACGAAGAAUUAGGAUUUGAUUCCAAAGAGGGAGCUUGAGAAACGGCUACCACAUCCAAUGAAGGCAGCAAGGGUGCAAAUUAUUUAAUCCCGAUUCAAGGAAGUAGUGACAAUAAAUAAGAAUACUAGGCUUUUACAAGUCAAGUAAUUGGAAUGUGUAUAAUAUAAAUCUUUUAACAAAGAUCUAUUAGAGGACAAGUGUGAUGCUAGAAGCCACGAUAAUUCUAACUCUAAUAAUAUAUAUUUAAGUUGUUGUAGUAAAAAAGCUUGUAGUUGGAUCUUGGAUCGAGGAAAAUAGUUUGCCUCUUGUGGAUGUGUACUGAUCCGCUCAACCUUCUUGUUGGAGAUGUGCUCCCGAUUUUAAUUAAUCAGGAUGCAGAGUUGAUGAUGUUACUUUAAAAAAUUAAAGUACUCAAAGCAAGCCUAUGCUUUGAAUUCAUUAGUAUGGAAUAACGUGAUAAGACUUUGGUCUUAUUUGUAUUGGUCUUUGAGACUAGAGUAAUGCUUAAUAUGGACAAUUGGAGGUAUUUGUAUUUCAUUAUCAAAGGUAAAAUUCUUGGAUUUAUAAAAAAAAAACGUCUGUAAAAGCAUUUAUCAAUGAUGUUUUUAUUAAUCAAGAAUAAAAUUUGGAGGCUCAAAGACGAUCAGAUACCAUCGUAGUCUCAAUCUUAAAUGAUGUCGACUAAGGAUUGACAGAUGUUACUUUGAUGACUCCGCUAGUACCUUAUGAGAAAUCAAAGUUUUUGGAUUUUAGAAAAAUAUGAUAGCAAAGUUGAAACUUAAAAGAAUUGAUAAAAAAAACACCACCAAGAGUGGAACCUGUGACUUAAUUUGAUUCAACAUGGAAAAACUUACCAGAUCCAGAUAUUGUGAGGAUUCACAAAUUUAGAGCUCUUUCUUGAUUCUAUGGGUGGUGGUGCAUGGCUAUUGUUAGUUGGUUAAGUGAUUUGUCUAUUUAAUUCUAUUAACAAAUGACACCUUAGUCUGCUAAUUAGUUACACAAAAGAUUUUUUUUAUUUGCAACCAACUUCUUUGAGGGACUAUCAGUGUCUAGCUAAUAGAAGUUUGAGGCAAUAACAAGUUUGUGAUGCCCUUAGAUGUUCUCGGCCACAUACGAUGUUGUACUAUAAUUUCUUAUAAUAUGUAAAAUUUAAUUAAAAUAAAUUAUAAGUUCAUAAUUCUUAGUGUGUAUUAGAAUGGUUAAUAAAUUAAUUUAAAGAGAGUAGAUAUAAAAAAAUUUAUUUUGAGUUUUAUAUAUUUUGAUUAUAAUAUUUUAAAAAUUAUAAGAUCUAAAUAUUUAGUGUGAAGCCUUGAAAAGAGAUUAGAGCCUAAAGAUGAUAUUCUAAACUAUUACGAGGAUUAUUGAGAAAGUUAAAAAUAAAGUAUGGUUGAAUAAAGGCAAGCUAUGAAGUUCUUCAUCCCUAUUGAUCGAAGGCAAUAUUCAAUGGGCUUCAAGGAGGCUGCGUGAGGCCUUAUUAGGAAUUAGGGUUUUUUUUUCGAGGUUAUUUGAGCUUUAAAAGAUAGGAUCAGUAAUUUUAGGUUUUUGGAUAUGGAUAGGAUACAAAUUUUGUAUGAUUUGGAGUUUUUAUGAAGGAGUUAUUGGUGCUCAAAGUUAAGGUAUCAAUUUCAUACCUAUUAUCACUCUUUGGAGUAUAACAUAUGCUUACAAAGAACAAUGAAGGAUCAAUGACUGAGAUUGGAGAGAGCACUUUUUUGACUUUAUUUUUUAUAUAUUUUUUGAUGAAUUUGAAGUUUAGAUGAAGAUGUUACAUAGAGUUGAAGUCAAUACAUCCAAAUCAAAGGCAAUAAGUGAGUGAUUUUAUUCAUAAUAAUAGUUGGAGCCAUAUCUUGAGUUUCUUGACAAAUUUUUGGCUCAAAUCUUUUAGAGAAGGUAGAUUAUUAUGUUAAAAAGCUAUAUAUAUAAAUUUUGUGGCAUUUAAAUACUUAUUUUGUGAGAUUUAAAGAAAAUUGCACGUAAGUGUAUAAAAACUAGGAUUUGAAGCUAGUAUUAGGAUUUUGGCAAUAUCUUAAGAUCUGCAACAAAUUUACAAUUGAAAUUUGUUGUCUUAGUUUUUAAAAAUACAUCAAUAAUUUAUAUAAAAUUUAAGUAUGUUUGAAUAGUUCAAUUGAGAGAUAUGAGUUGUUGAAGUUUGGAAAUAAUAUCCUAUAAGGAUAUAUAAGGAUUUAGAGUUUUUAAUCAUAUUUUGGAUAUUUUUAGAAACUUAAGACUUAUAUAUUUGGUCUAAUUACUCCUAAAAGUAACAUAUAUAUAUAUAUAUAUAUAUAUAUAUACAUAUGAACUUGGUCUUUCUUAUUUCAAGAUUUGAUUGAACAAUUAGUAACAGCUAAGAGCCCACUAUUUUUUUGAGGCAAAUUCUCUCUACUUCAACAUAAUGGUGCUUCAUUGAUGAAUUCACUGAGUUUAUAACCUUGAUUGAUAGGUCUUAGUAAUCUUUUGAAAUUUUAUUGUGAUGAAAAUAGAUCAUUAUAAUUAUUGAUCUUCAACAAGGAAUUCUUAAUAAGUGCAAGUCAUCAGCUUGCAUUGACUAUGUCCUUGUCCUUUGUAUACACUGCCCAUUGCUCCUACUGAUUGAAUAAUCUAGUGAAGUCUUUAGAUUGCAUCGAUGUUGGCAGUUUGCUGUCAAUGACGUUGAAAGAAGUUCAUUAAAUCUUAUCAUUUAGAAGAAGGAGAAGUUGUAAUAAGGUUUCCAUAGGUGAACCUACGGAAAGAUCAUUA